RNAcentral lists this ribosomal RNA (492 nucleotides) under uncultured bacterium. RNAcentral's name for it is "partial 16S ribosomal RNA". It matches the Rfam family "Bacterial small subunit ribosomal RNA", at positions 29 to 507 of the family's 1533-position model. The record is from RNAcentral.
AGUGAACGCUGGCGGUAGGCCUAACACAUGCAAGUCGAACGGCAGCACAGUAAGAGCUUGCUCUUACGGGUGGCGAGUGGCGGACGGGUGAGGAAUACAUCGGAAUCUACUUUUUCGUGGGGGAUAACGUAGGGAAACUUACGCUAAUACCGCAUACGACCUACGGGUGAAAGCAGGGGAUCUUCGGACCUUGCGCGAUUGAAUGAGCCGAUGUCGGAUUAGCUAGUUGGCGGGGUAAAGGCCCACCAAGGCGACGAUCCGUAGUUGGUCUGAGAGGAUGAUCAGCCACACUGGAACUGAGGCACGGUCCGGACUCCUACGGGAGGCAGCAGUGGGGAAUAUUGGACAAUGGGCGCAAGCCUGAUCCAGCCAUACCGCGUGGGUGAAGAAGGCCUUCGGGUUGUAAAGCCCUUUUGUUGGGAAAGAAAAGCAGCAGGUUAAUACCCCGCUGUUCUGACGGUACCCAAAGAAUAAGCACCGGCUAACUUCGUG